UAGCCCUGACAAUGGGCAAGAGCUACCUUUGUGGUGGUGGUCUUCUUCUGUCAGUCAGGGACAGAGCAGAUGGCAGUCCUUUGUUCAUCCUAGUUUGAUGCUUGGCUUGGUGGCCAAAGUUAUUUUAUACCUAGAACAUAAAA
Small nucleolar RNA from Acomys russatus (golden spiny mouse), 143 nucleotides. RefSeq annotates it as small nucleolar RNA SNORA48. The record is from RefSeq and is a predicted model, not a curated record. NCBI's taxonomy places the organism in Eukaryota, Metazoa, Chordata, Mammalia, Rodentia, Muridae. The transcript has a single exon.